This 415-nucleotide ribosomal RNA is filed under the name uncultured prokaryote. Its description in RNAcentral is "bacterial SSU rRNA". It matches the Rfam family "Archaeal small subunit ribosomal RNA", at positions 330 to 747 of the family's 1478-position model. The record is from RNAcentral.
GUGCAGCAGUCGCGAAUACUCCGCAAUGCGGGCAACCGCGACGGGGCUACCCCGAGUGCCGGGCGAAGAGCCCGGCUUUUGCCCGGUCUAAAAAGCCGGGAGAAUAAGCGGGGGGCAAGUCUGGUGUCAGCCGCCGCGGUAAUACCAGCUCCGCGAGUGGUCGGGGUGUUUACUGGGCUUAAAGCGCCCGUAGCCGGCCCGGCAAGUCGCUCCUGAAAUCCCAGGGCUCAACCCUGGGGCGGGGGGCGAUACUGCCGGGCUAGGGGGCGGAAGAGGCCGCCGGUACUCCGGGGGUAGGGGCGAAAUCCGUUAAUCCCCGGAGGACCACCAGUGGCGAAAGCGGGCGGCCAGAACGCGCCCGACGGUGAGGGGCGAAAGCCGGGGGAGCAAAGGGGAUUAGAUACCCCUGUAGUCC